UUUCAUCCGCAUGAGGCGCCUCUAGAUGGCUCGCCAAUUUAUGAGCAUUGCUCCCAUGUGUAUAUGAACCCCGAUGUAAAGUUUGAUGUGAUCGACCUUCGAUGAUGGUGAGAAAUUUCAACUUUAUCCCUGAAAACUGGACUGGCAGCUGUUGCCUUUAUUUUUUUUAACUAUGCUGAAGAAUCUUGAAUAACGAUGUAAGUGAUUGUAUAUAGCUAUUGCAUGUAUAGAGUUUUGUUGAAUUGAAAAUCUUCGGUAGCUCCGGGGUACUUAUAAAUUUAUGUAGAAAUUUACAAAAUUAUAAAUAAUUCUUAAAGUUCUUUUAGUAAUAUAUAUCAAAUCGUAACAAAAUAAUUAAUAAUUAUAUAAAUUUUUUGAACAUACACAUUUCUCUGGUUAUAUGAUUAGUGCAAUCUCUAUGCACCACCCAACUUGUUUCACCGGAGAAGUAUGCGUUGUGCCAAGUGGGAGCAUAGUAGUCGUUGUCGGUUAAGUUGGUGAAGAGCCCUUCUGUAGAGGUGGACAACUUAAUAACAAUGGUGGCGACGCCUUUUCCAUCAUCGAAGUAGGAUUCGCCUUGAGACACCCAUUCUCUUCCAAUGUGUAUGUGUCUGGAGCUCUUCUUCUUGCAGGGUUCGGGCUUGCCAUCUUGCUCCUUGUUCUUCUUGGGCCAAUUGGCUACGAAGUGGCUUGUAUUCGCCACACUCAAGCAUACCCUCUUGGAUUGUCGAGUCCUUGUCCUGUUGUCGUGCUUCUUCUUCCCAUAGCCAUCAUACUUUAGAAACUUCUUGAAUGUCUUGAUGACAAGGGCAAAGUCUUCCUUCUUAAGCUUGGCUUUGGCCUUCAAGGUGAUCUCCUUGUUCUUGACGAUGGUGGUAUUCUUGGUAAGAGACUUAAUGUGCUGGGCGUCUUCUUGCAAUAGCUUGGAGUGAGUUGCUUGAAGUUUUCCAUCUCUCGAACGAGAGUGAGCAAGGUGGUCUUUCUUGGUGCAAUGGCUUAGAGUAGCCUGUUGAUAAUGACACGGUCGGACAUGUCUCCACUUUCAAGAUCACGAAUCUUAUUGAUGAUAACCAAAAUGCAAUCGUACAUCUGUUGUGUAGUCUCAUCAUCUUUCAUCACGAACCUUCCAAGUUGCCCUUCUAGUAACUUGAUUCUUGAUUCUCUCACUCUGGCGUAUCCUUCAUGAGCGAGCCGGAGAGUAUCACAAAUCUCCCUGACUUCCUCAAGUUGCUCCACCUGGUUGAAUUUUUUGAGGCUUCACCCACAAUCGCACUUGUAGCUUGAGUGUUGAUGUGGAUGGUUGAUUCUUGUGUCGUAGUAAGCUUGCCAUCACCUUCUAGAAUGUCCACACCGGUGAGAAUAAGCUUCCACACACUAGGAUGCAAAGACAUUCGAUACAAUUUCAUCUUGUGCUUCCAACCGACAUAGCAAGUCCCAUCGAAAUGGGGUUUAUGCCUGGAAGACAGAGAUGAAAGGAGUGUUAUGAUUAGCUUUCUCAUAGUCAUAGGGUAUAAACAUUCCCUUGGGUGGGGCGCUCUUAAUUAGAAGUUGAGGUGUUACCUUCAUCACCCAUUGUGGCCACCAGAUUAUCACCGUUGUGCGACAUCUUUUCUCUUCAAACAGUUAAGCUUUGCGAAAGAAUCCUUGAUUUGAUACCAAUUGAAAGAUCGAGAUAUCGCAUAGAGGAGGGGGCAGGGCAGGGAAUGUGCCAUGUUUAAAAACUCAACAGUAGAAGUCAUGUCGCACCGGAGUCUACGGUACAGUUUCUCUAUCGAGACAAAGCGAUUAUACUGGACACUCUAGAGGAUAGUACCAAAUACUCCGGAGGAUGAAAAACAACUCCUUUCAGAGGGAUUCCAUAGAGGUUCAGAGGCAUAAAACACAAGCACAAAGAAGAGAAAAAUCAUAGGAAUGAUAGUUUUCAUCGGAGUUUGGAUUUCUCAAUUCUAAUCUCCGUUGAGUGAAUCCAACGAGCUGGAUCUCUCUCUAUCCAAAGUCUCACCAAGCUCACAACCACGAAUAUGCUUUGGUUCUCAAGCCACCACCUAGGUGAGCCGUUCUUGGGUGAGCACUAGAGGUCUAACGCUAGCAACACACUCCUCUUCCUCGGUGGUGCUCGCUCUACCGAUCAAACUCCUAGGGGUAAGUCCGGUAUCCACUAUCUUGCCCCUAUUUCUUUGUGGAGGUGAGGAGGGCCUUGUACAAACUUACCAAACAAAUCACAAUCCUUGAGAUGCUCCUAGGCAACGCCUAGCCGGCUAGGACUAGGAGGCAAGCCUCAAAGAGUAACAAGCUUGGAUUGAUGGCCGAAUCCAAUCCCGAAGUGCUCUUCACAAGUUGCUAGGUGCCUUCCAUGGAAAACCCUAGGUUUCUCUCUAGCCUACUCUCCCUCUAGAAGGAUGAACCCUAGGGGGACAAGGAAUGAGUGGUGAUCCCUUAGAGGAUAUAUGGAAGGGAAUGUCUACACACCCCUACGAAAAGGAGGGCUUUUAUAACAACCUAGCUGCCACAAGCGAUUAGGUAAAAAUUUGAUUUUUGGAGACUCCGGUGAAAGCCACUUUGGAAAGCCUUGUUUUACUGGCUUUAACUGUCACCCUAGACAUCGGUACACUUUCUUUGCUAGAAAGAGAAUUCCUAUUGGAGGUUUUGUCCAACAACACCGUAUACUCCGAUGUGAGUUCACGGUCUUGCAUAAGGAGUGUACCAGGAAUUCUGACAACGGUUGCAAGGGUUGCAGGGAUACUUCUAGGACCGAAAUAAAAUCCAAAAUAAGUGUGGUGCAACGUAUUUCGCUCAAGGCCCUUAGGUUCUUGUGAGAGUACUGCGUUAUACUUGCGACCAACAAAGCAAACCGUGCUUAAUAGUAUGCCAAUCCUAAGGACUCAAUAAAAGAAAAUUACAAUUUUGUUCUUCCGUCCUUGCGCAUUUCUUUAUUUGUGUUACAUAGGAUACACUGUUUGUCACAUUCACUAACCAGAGACUAAUUCUCUACAUUUAUGCUCAAUCUAAAGGUUAGUUCCCUAGAUAUUUUGCCAAUUACAUAACCAAAAUCCAAUGAGGGAGCCUUGAUGCACUUUCAGUUUCUUGCAAAAUAACCCCAUGCCACUCCUUUGUACUCACUAGCAUUUGUUGUAUUUAUUGGUAUGAUUUGUUGAGUAUGAUGAUUUGCUAGCUUUGCUUAGCUAGCCUUACUUGUGACUCUGCUACAAUCAAAAGUUUUGGACUGACUGGAGCUUCCAAAGGACAGAAGUUCCAAAGUUACUUCAGAAGUUUCAAAGGUUACUGCUUUUGCUUUUAGUUUCCAGAAGUUUUUAUGGCCUAUUCACAUCCUUUAGGCCCUCAUUAGCUCUUUCAAUAAUCAAUGUGUACAAAUAAUUCUACAGUGGUGCUGUGUAAAAAAGUUACUUCCACUAACUAUAAAUUAGUUUUUUUUCACAUUAUAGUCUAUUUUCUAAUGCUGUCUUUUAAUUAUUAAUAAUAAGUAUUCAGAAAAUAUUAUCCAUAAAUUAUUUUUAGUUGUUUCAUCCAUUAUCCUUGAAUUAUCAAAUAUAGUUCAAUUAAUUAGAGCCGCCACGUUGUUGCUACUCUUUUUGAUGUUUUAAUAUUUGCUGCUAUUGACUUUUAAACAUUUGUUUGACAACUCAUCUUAUUCAUAUUUUUUAAUGCAAAGAUACAAAAGGGUGGUCAUAGGUGCAUCAUGUGCCUGGAGUGUCCGCAUAGCAAACUCCUAGGUUUACUUGCUUUCUUCAUUCCACACAUUUAUAAAUAUUAAACAUAUUAGCAUAUCUAUCAUUAUUUUGGUAUCUUAAAUAAAACUAAGUGUUUCUUUUGUUGGGGUAAAUAUUACUAUAUAAGUAUUAUCAUUAUUUAUAUAUAAUUUUACGGAGAUGAUUAUGAUGACUUCUUCAAUAACAACAUAUGCUAGCUUAUUCUUUCGAAAGUGCUGAUAGAGAUAGGGUGUGUUCAUAAAGGUAAGUGCGUAUGCAUGUAUACUUUCGCAAAAUAAUGCUCCCUUUAUUCCGAAAUAUAAACAUAUUUGGUUGUCUAGCUGUGAAGGAUGCUGACAGCAACGGGGAAGCUUGAACCCUCCUUUAGAGGUUCAGUUAGGAGUAAGUGAGAACAUGCGCGUAAGAGUGCUUCUCAAGUGGGUUCCUUGGGUGCUCCUAAGGAUUUGCUUAGGGAAACUCACAAAGGAAUUAGAUAAACAACGGAAGACAAAACUUUGAAGUUUCCUACCUAUCGGGAGAAAGCACCAAGAAAGUAUAUAGGUUUAGGCCACCCAGAGCUGUAAAACCCUAAUCCUGUUUUUUCUACUAUCAAAUGGAUAUGGUUAGAAGGUAUGUUCCUCUUUCUCGUCCCCUCUACACGGCGCCAACCUCCCCUUUUAUAACCAAAGAAGGGCCUAUGGUGCCAGCUACUUUACUAGGAAAAGAUGGUCUAGUCCUGUCUCUUCCCUGUUAGGACAAAAAUAACAUCUGAAACUACCACCGUUCUACUAGCACACGGUACCCGAACGCGCUGGAGCCAGGACCCAGGAUACGUAGGCUGGAGGAGCAACUAACACCUAUCUAGGCGAACCCUUGUCCCAUCAUGGGGGUCUUGUCCACCGCCUUGGAACUUGGUGAUGAGACAUCAGCAGUCAGCUGUUACAGACGUGUCGCAUUGCCCUUCCUCUAGGAGAUGGAUGUGGCCAUGUAGGCGCUCGCACAUGUCACCACAUCUUAAUUCCAUGCAAGUAGUGCUAGAGGGGGGCCAAGCCCCAAGGGGUCUGGCCUGCUUCAUGCCAAGGGGGCUCCUUCCCCACAAUGACCAUGGUGGCUAGCGCUUACCAGGUCUUCUUGGGGACGUAACCUCCAAGUUCAUAAUGCACAUUGCCUUAGAGGAGAUACCGAUGUUGAGGCACAACUGCUUGCGCACCUUGAAGAUAUAUCUUUUAGGUUUCCAUACCCCUUCUUUCCGAGCAGCAUGAGGCCCCUGGAGAGGCACCGAGGCCUCGGAGCUCAAGCAUGCUUAGCCCAAAGGUUAGGGGCGCGCCUGAAGCAUCUAGGCCUCCUUUGUUGAUUUUGGUAAUUAAUGACAAACACUAAUUGUGGACUAACUAUUCUGUUGAGUUAUGCUUUUGAGUUAGGACCACAUGAUGUGUAUGCAUGGAUGAUUACCGAGGACAAAAUUCGAUGGCGAAAAGCAAAAGGAAAGAAGACAGUAAAACUAGAAGUUUUCAUUUUAAUUGAUCGAGGAGUUGGUCAUCAAAAUUUGCUAGUUCUACUUAUAGCUUUGCUAUAUUAUCAAGAGGGGUAGUGACCUAAACAAAAAAAUGAUUAAAAUACCACAUUAGGUCAUUUGCAUUUAGACUUGAUUUACUUUUCAAUUGAUGUGCUUUUCUAACUAAGGGUGGUCUGACCAAGGACCUCAAGCCGGUCAGACCGCUGGGUCUACUUUGGUCUAACCAAUCGGCCUUGUGCCGGUGGUCGGCCUCUGGGUUUGAAAACCUGAGUUGCUAGAGCCGCAAGUGGUCAGACCGUGCCGAUGGUGGUCUGACCGAGCCCUGCAUUUAAUGCACUGCAAUGACAAGUUUUCUAGCCGUUGCAAUACAGUCUAGUCUGACCGGUAGUGCACUGAGUUAGGGAUUUUGACCCCCAACGGCUAGUUUUUGGGUGGGGGUAUAAAUAUCCCCCACUUACAGCAAGGGGCCUCUCUUGGCAUUCACUUUACUUGCAUUCACUCCUUGCAACUAUCACACUCUCUAGUGAUUGUGUUCAUCCAUUUAGUGUGAUUGAGGGUUGAUUAACCAAGAGUUAAGUGCAUUGCUUCAUUGUAGAGUUAGUGUGGCACUUGAUCAUCUCCAAGCCGGGUCAUCGCUUGUUACUCUUGGAGGUUACCACCUCCUAGAUGGCUUGUGGAGGUGUUGCCCGGUGACCUCUCCAAGGAGGUUGUGGAGAAGGCCCAGCGCCAGUUGUGAGUGAUUUGGAGUUCACCACCUUCGGAGUGAAGGAAAAACUACCGCUAAUGAUCGAGACUUGGGUAGUCUCACCUUGCCCACCUCUUGACGAAAUGGGCUUACGGUGGCUUCGUGGUUUUGAGCGAUGAAGUUGGGUUCGCCUCAACGGUGAUUACAAAACUGGUGAGUUUUCAAACCUUGGAUGAGAAAUUCCUUAUCUCUUGUCUUAUUUAAUGAUUGCAUUCUCAUUUGUGCAAGUUACUUUCAUAGAUUCAUAAUUGAGCCCAUAUCACCUAUAGGAUUACAAAACAUAAUUUAGUUGUUUAGUUAAGUUUAUCCCUCACCAAGCCGCAACUUAGGUUAGUUUUGAUUAGGUGUAUUUUAAUUUUUAAUCGCCUACCCUACUGCGCCAUGCUGCUCUGCAUAUGUAGAUUUGUAGGUAUCCACGCUCUCCUUUUCGGGAGAAUCAUGAAGAAUGGGGUGGUGUCGAGGCCCCAAGAACCUAUUCGGUUCAAGCCCUUGCCUCCUCCAUGCUAACAUCGAACACAAUUACUAUUCUUAACUAUAAUCAUCCUGAUGUAACGUACGUUUCUCAAAUCAACUGUAUGUUCACCAUAAUUUACUAUUUAUGACUCGACGCAUAAUUUAUUUUCAAAAUUUAUUUUAAUUUGCAACAACUAAAAUUAGCUUAACCCGAUGCAAAGCAUUUAAUAUUUAUUUAUACAUAUAUUUUCUACAAUCCAAAUAUCUCCUGUCUCUACUAUUAUAAAAAUUGAUAGUGUUUCAACCGUCUGUUACCUGUAUAUCUUGCCCGCGUGGGCCGGUUGGGCCAUGGUGCCCACACGGGCGAUUCGUUUGCCCGAAUGGUCUACCUUGAGUGGUUGCGGCAUAUAGCAUAGUGGUAGUGUGUUCACUUUAUAAACGAAAAUUUGCGAGUUCAGUACUAGUCGGGGGCAUGUUUUAUGUUUUUUCUUUUCUUUUUGACUAGUCAUUGUCUUACCUUAGUAAAGUAAAGAGAAGCUUUGUACUCCAAUGGUUAAAACAUUGGUCAUUGACAUUGACAUAUAUGUGCUAGGUUCGAUUCGAAUCCUAUCAAAAUCAUAUUUAAUUUCUUUUUUUUGUGUGUUUUACUUGCCAGUGCAGUUUUGAUUUAUUUCUUUUAGUCUUUUAUACCUAAUACAAAUCUCUUAUUACUGAGGUGACAACACAAUUGUACAUUGACCAUACUUUACAAUUUCCGACUCAACGUAUAAUUUAUUUUAAUAUUAACUUGACCUAGUGCAAUGCACAAGUAUUUUUUCUAGUAUAAGAGUUAAAUUCGUCAAAUAAAAAGCUAGAUAAAAUAGAUAUAAGUAUUAGUAAGUCCUGUCUAAUUUAUCAUAUAAACAGAGCAAGAAACGAGGAAAACAGGAUGACCUAACUAUGUUGACAUGUGGUUGACGAAAUGCGUCCGAACCGUUGAGCCAACUCCGCCCGAUCCGAGGGGGCCAAACCGCAAAAAAUCCAAAGAGAUGAGAAGUUUCGAAACAUACUCGUACUAAUUUCCAAUAUUCGCAAGGGCGGAAAUGCGAAACAGACCGAAUCGCAGUAUCGUUCUACGUACCAGCCAACAAGAAAAGUCCACUUCCUCAUACCUCCCCCUAACCCCCUCCCGCCGCGUUGCCCGAUUCGCCGCCGCUGAGCUCGCCGGAGAAGCGGAGGGGCGGCUCUCGCGGGCCGCCAUGGGGCCGCCGCCACAGCCGGCCAAGGGAGGCAGCAUCGACAUCCAGGCGUCCGCGCGGCCGAUCGCCGUCGACCACCGCAUCAAGCUCCCCUACUACUUCCGCAUCGCCGGCAACCUCCUCCGCCAGGUCAGGCCCCCACCUAGACGUCCCCGUAGGAUCCCUCCCGGGACGCCGGAUCUCUCCUCCUGCUGGUAGGAGCGGCUGCCUAGUUCGGUAGUGCAAUUGCGCGAUUGGGCGCGGUAGUUCUGUCUGGUUCGGCUGCCGGAUUCGAUGGAUUGGGGAUUGUUUCGUUGCGCGAUUAGGGUGGAUUGUUUCGGUUUCGAUGCCAAAUUGUGUUAAUUGGGUGGAUUGAUGUCGUUUGUGCAGGCUAAGAUAUACCGAGACGAGAAGAAUCUCGUCGACCUGUAUGUCAUCCUCCUGCGAUACUCGAGGUGUGGUUGGCCGCUGAUUUAUCUUGACGAUUUUCGUUCCUAGUGUCACAACUAACGUGUGUAUGCCUACAGCUUGAUUUGCGAGACGAUUCCGAAGCAUCGUGACUACCCUACAUUCAAGUUGAGAGAAGUGGAUUUCUUCAGACUUGCUCCGCAUAACCAAUCUGUACUUGCUCUCACUUUACUAUAGGUUUUAAGCUGUCUAUUAGAUCACAGUAGAUUGUUUUGAAUUUUGGAUAACAAUGCCUUUUCUCUAUACCCUGUGUUUAAGUAUCGGUGGCUUUUGUUGUAGAAACUCAUUGAAGUGCUCAGUGAACUUGAGUCACUGAAGCCAGUUGUGCAGCGGCAAGUUGCUGAGCAUAACAGAGCAAGAGGAGGUGCCAUCCAAUCUAAUAGCAGUAUAAAUAGAACCGUGGCUGUAAAUAAUAUAUCACAGCAGCACAUGGCAACCCCAUAUACCUAUCAGGUAUAUAUAUAUAUACCCCCUCUGGUUAUUCUUUCCCAUCACUAUCAAUCUGGCAGCUUCUCAAAUGCUUGUUCUGUUUUAUUUUCUUAUUCUGUUCUUAUUCAGCCAUUUGUAGGAAGUAACAAUGGAUCAUUACAAAGAUUUGUCCCUGGUGGGAAUCAUGAAGUGGCACCGAUAAUGAGUGCUCAACCUGAUAGGCGGACCCACAAACAGUAUGUGUAUACCUUGGUCAUAUUUAUGUGUAUAUUUUUGGUGUUUUAUUUGUCUUAAAGACAGACAAUUAUUAGCUUACCUAUUGAUACUGUUGGCUAUUAAUUAAGGGAGCUCAGGUGACAUGUUUAUUAGCUUACAAAAACAAGAGCAAAUUGUAUAAAAAUAUCAGAGAGACUGAGAGUAUAGAGUAGCAUAUCAGGGCACAGAACAGAGCACAGCGUACAUAGAGACCAGAGAGUAGCAGAUCAAAUCGAGCGUUGGUCAUGUUGGUGCUGCACUGCUGGUGUAGAUGUCAAAGCAAGUAGUCGGUGUCAUGGAGACAGUUUAGACAAUUGCCAGUGGGGAUUGGGAAGGACAGAGGGAUGACAGAGCAGAUGAACAUUAGGCACGGUCUGGUGUGGAGCAGUAGAGCAGAGCGGAUGAGGGUGCCAGUGGAUCUAACUGCGGCUGUGGCAACAGUGUCCUGAAUCAACCUCGGCCAUCCCAAACCCUAGCCACCCCUGCGUACGCUCUAGUUAGGAGAUUAGGUUGGGCCGUCUGCGGUGGGUAUUUGGUAAUCAUUGAUUCUGUGCAUGUCAUAGUUUUAAAAUGUAGAACACUAGAACUAUGGCAAGAGGAAAUAUUGAAGAAGGCCAGUUGGUUCGCGGAAUUGGUUCAAAGUGAUUCAGUUAUAUUUAUUGGAAGAUUUAUGGCAAGAGUGUUACUUUUAUUUCGUUAUUCCUAUUUGACUCUCUUAUGAAUCUGUUUUCUGGAAAAAUAGAUGGAUUCAUUAUUUAUCCCUGACAUAUUGGUAGCCAUUUGUGUUAGUAAACUAAAACUUACAUUUCUUGGCUGUUUUAAACAGAUUUGUAAAUCUACCUUUCCCUAAAGAGGAAACAUUAGCUAGACAUUCUAUAUUGGGACCUAAUGGGCUUCAUGGGCAAUGGACUGGGCCUGUUACUGCAAUCAAGGUAUGGUUAUUUUCAUCUCAUUUUCUAAAUGCCUUUGCUUGAAAAUUUAACCAUAGAGAAGACAGCAAUAGUCUUAUUGAUUUUGUUACUGCUUGUUGCAGGUUCAGUAUCCAAGCAAUCUUGAUCUAAUAAAAAGCGAUGUCUCUAGGUGAGAAUUUAGAUGCUUAAAGAUUAAUGCAUCUAGUGACUUUUCCCUACUUGUCUCUUUUCUCCCAAACCUUGGGUUGAACUUCUUUCAAAUUGGAGAAGUGUCUGUUAUAAAUUGUCGUCCUCAUUUACUGUUUCUUGGAAUGAUGCCUCAUAGUUUAAACAGAGUGAUACUUGUUUCCAGUAAUUUUGUCUGUUACACAAAAGCUUAAAGCAUUUUCUUGAAAUAAUUUUAGUGAUGAUGUGCUACAUACCAAUAGAACCACCUGAAAAAAAUGUCGAUUGGCUCAACUAGAUAUUUUUAAAGAAAGAAUGACAUCCUAAUUUUAAAGUAGAUGUGCUUAUUUGCAUCAUUGCAAUAGUAGGGAUUGCAUCUGGGUAUUAAUCAUAUUUAUAUAGAAACUAGUUCAUGCUCAUCUGCUUUUCUUAUCAUGUGACAUUGGCACCAACUUGCUUAUGCAGUUUAUUGCCAGUUGUCUUGAACCAAGAUGAUCAGAAUGGUCUCAGUACAAUAUCCACAGAUAGCACUCAAGUUGAGAAUGAUGAUAUGAAAUCUGUUUUGUCUCUUGAUGAUGGUCGAUGGUCCAAACCGGCAGAAGAACACACCUCUGUACCUUCUGCUAUUCUGGAAGAAGAGUUGUCCCAAUUGAGUAUCAGACAGCCUUCACCUCCUCCGGUCUUGGCAGAGUUAGAGCGCAAGCCAAUUGCUCCAUCGGAAGUUGCUGAUCCAACACCAGGACUUGCUACCUCAGAAACCAGGGGUUAUCAGAGCUUACAUGUUGUAAGUUGAAAUAUUGUUCUCUCCUUCGAAAGUUAAAACUAUAAUAUGUUCUGAACCUACAGCUCUAUGCUAAGCACUUGAGUAUUAAUCUUCUAUUUGCAUUUUAUCUAUUAAUCUAUUGCGGUUGACAUAAUUUUGCUGAUGAUUUCAAUGCUACUUUCUGUUAGCCGGUAAAGUUGAUGGAGUGUUUUCUAAGGGUUGCUGAGGCAAAUACUAAGAGAAGUUUAGAAACUUGUGGGGUUCUUGCUGGUACCCUGGUAUGUUCAUUCCCUGAAGAAAAUAAGACAUUGAUUCGAUUUGACUUCUUAACUAUUUUAAAUUGUUGUAUUUUUCUGUAGAAAAAAAGAACCUUUUACAUUACUGCGUUAAUAAUUCCAAAGCAGAAAUCUACAUCUGAUUCAGUAAGUUGUAAAUACUUUAUGUUACUAUCUUUGUCGACAUAUUUAUUCCAUGCUCGAUAGUUGGAGUUAUCAACAUUACUUGAUGAGUACAUUAACUCUGGCACUUCAAGAGAUUAUAAGAGUUACAUGGGUUUAUUUAUUUUACAGUGUGAAGCGACAAAUGAAGAUGAAUUAUUUGAUGUUCAGGACAAGGGCUCGCUUUUCACUCUUGGUUGGAUUCACGUAAGUUUGGUUUAAUGAAACUUUGUUGUUUACAUCUAUUGUGUUAUCUAAAAGUGGUACAUGUACUUAUUUUAGCACAUUUGAAAAAUAUUUGGGGAUCAUCAGUAAAGAUGAACUUAUUUGCAUUAGUAGACCAACUUGAUAACUUCUUUCACAGAAUUAUAGAAAGUUAGCUACUUCUCUGCCAUGUAAAAGAGUCUGACCUCUUCGUAAAUACUGGGAAUGAUUCAUGUAAUGUCAAAUUCUUCAGCUGUCAUGCCACUUGGUAGAAUACUCUAUCGCCCUUAUUCGAGAGCGGAAUUGUUGGUACAUGCCUAAUUGUCAUUCCUUGUUAUCUGGCUGGGGUUUUCAGCACCUACUAGCAGUGGCAGGACUUUGACUUCUUUUUUUUGGUGAAUGUAUAGUACAGGAAAAAAUGGCCUUGAAAUUUGACCAGUGUCGACAGCAUUACAUGUACUACAUUUGUUAUAAAUAUCAGAAAGUUCUGGCCAAAAUAUCAUUCAUCUUUCAUGCACAAAUAGGUCUGUGCUAUGCUUGUAUCAAAUUUAUGAGUGGUUUCAGGAGAUAAACCUCAGCCUCAUUGUUUGGCUUUUCUGUGAAAAAAGAAAAAUGUCAUAUUUGUAAAUGAAAAAUAAUUUGUGAAUAAAACUUUUAUAUAAGUGUUUUUAACGAUCUAAAAGCAAAUGUUGAAAAAUAAACUACGAUGAAAAAAUCCUAAAAUUAACACUUUAAAUUAAGGUUGAAAAUUCAAAUUUUGGCUUAUAAGCAUAAGCGGAAGCGAAAAGAAGAGACCCCUUUUUUGGGUAAUUUUGAUUAGAACAAUUGUGAGUAUAAUUUGUUGGGCCUGCUUUUUUGCAUUAAAAGAAUCUAUUUUUUCUGACAUCACUUGUCCUUUUUCCAGACACAUCCAACACAGUCCUGCUUCCUGUCCUCCAUUGAUCUCCAUAACCAUUAUUCUUAUCAGGUAAUGUUUGCUAGAUUCGAUCUACCAUACCAUUAUCAUUUGGUGCUGCAAUUUCUACUGUAGUAAUAAAUGUUUUCUUGCCUAUGCUUUAUAGUAUUAUUUAUCUUAUAACUGUUUUGUUAUUGAUUUUAAUGAGGAAAAUACCAAACAAAAGCAUGUUCUUGAGCUAAUGUCAAGAUAUUAUCCAGUAGUGGAAUUAUAAAUGUUUGCAAUGCAUGUAUCGCCUUUCUAGACCAGUAGCUGAAAAAGAUUUUGUUUAUGACAUGUGCAAUUUAUCCAGUGCUCAUGGCAUAAUUUUGUGAUAUCUUUUGUUUUUAUUCAGAAUAUUAUUGCAUACCCAAACAUGUUUUGACUCGAUAUGAUAUGAUGGUUUCAUUUCUAUAUAUUCUUGUGUUGGAUUAAUUACUAGAGUAGCUUGUGCCUUGCUAAUUUGCUUAAUAUAUAUUGGCUAGUAAAUUGCACGAUGUUGCUGUGUCAGAAUUUUCUGCCUGAAUCAUUUCAUUAAAAAAUCAUUAUUUUCUAUUUGUUCACAUGUUCGACAAUUGUUACUUUUACCAACAGGUGAUGUUACCUGAAGCAAUUGCAAUAGUUAUGGCACCUACUGACACAAGGAGGUAUGUGAUUUGCUCUGUAGACAUCUACUUAUGUGUUUGGUUGCCAAUUUUGCAGUCAAUUCUUUUACCGUCACUUUUUUUUUACAAAGAAAAUGAGUUCGGUCCUCUACAUCAAUUAAUUUAUGGACACCAGGAUUUGAACCCUUGUGGCUGGGGGGCAUGCACCCAUGUCACUCCCCCGCCACAUCAAUGUUGCCACCUGCACAAGGAUUUUACCAUCACUGUUCACUAAGAUUUGCAUCUCUUGAUGCUAAUUUUCAAGUGUAUAUAAUUUGCAUCAUUGCUCCUAAGUCCUAAGGUCAAAUUGUGCAAUCUGUUGCUUCUGUGACUUACAAUUCAGUUUCAUAGUUUACUGCUGAAUUAUUUGCAAACUUCCUCUGCCAGUAUAUUUUUUAAAGCUCAUUUCCUGCAAUUUCUUUUUACUCUAUAGGUUUGAUGAUUUUUUUUAAUCUUAAAUUCUAUUAAUAGCCUGCAAUGUUGAGUUGUUGACUGUCUGUUUGCUAGCUUGUGAAAGCCUGUUAUGUAAAUAUGGACUCUGUAUUACAAGGAUCAUGUGAUCUUGAAUAAUGUUUUGCUUGAACAGAAAACAUGGUAUAUUUCAUCUCACUGAUCCUGGUGGUAUGGGCGUGAUCCAUGAUUGUCCGGAGAGAGGAUUCCAUCCGCAUAAGGCGCCUCUAGAUGGCUCACCAAUAUAUGAGCAUUGCUCCCAUGUGUAUAUGAACUCCGAUGUAAAGUUUGAUGUGAUCGACCUUCGAUGAUGGUGAGAACUUUCAACUUCAUUCGCGGAAACUGGACUGGCAGCUGAACAAGUUGGCUGCCUUUAUUUUUUUUUAACUAUGCUGAAGAAUCUCGAAUAUCGAUGUAAGUGAUUGUACAUAGCUAUUGCAUGUAUAGAGUUUUAUUGAAUUGAAGAUCU
Molecule: long non-coding RNA, 13767 nt
Filed under: Oryza brachyantha (malo sina)
Lineage: Eukaryota; Viridiplantae; Streptophyta; Magnoliopsida; Poales; Poaceae
Description: long non-coding RNA (OBRA_LNC000098)
Source: RNAcentral